AGCAGCCGCGGUAAUUCCAGCUCCAAUAGCGUAUAUUAAAGUUGUUGCAGUUAAAAAGCUCGUAGUUGAAUUUCGGGGUCAGUAGGUCGGUCGUGCCACUGGUAUGAACUGGUUUCACUGAUUCUUCCCUCUUGUAGAACCGUGAUGCCAUUAAUUUGGUGUUGCGGGGAAACAGGACUGUUACUCUGAAAAAAUUAGAGUGUUUAAAGCAAGCUAACGCUUGAAUACAUUAGCAUGGAAUAAUGAAAUAGGACGUCUGUCUUAUUUUGUUGGUUUCUAGGAUGGACGUAAUGAUUAAUAGGGAUAGUUGGGGGCAUUAGUAUUCAAUUGUCAGAGGUGAAAUUCUUGGAUUUAUUGAAGACUAACUACUGCGAAAGCAUUUGCCAAGGAUGUUUUCAUUAAUCAAGAACGAAAGUUAGGGGAUCGAAGACGAUCAGAUACCGUCGUAGUCUUAACCAUAAACUAUGCCGACUAGGGAUCGGAUGAUGUUAAUUUUUAAUGUACUCAUUCGGCGCCUUAA
This 520-nucleotide ribosomal RNA is filed under the name uncultured Glomus. Its description in RNAcentral is "SSU rRNA". It matches the Rfam family "Eukaryotic small subunit ribosomal RNA", at positions 569 to 1091 of the family's 1831-position model. The record is from RNAcentral. Lineage: Eukaryota; Fungi; Glomeromycota; Glomeromycetes; Glomerales; Glomeraceae.